This 440-nucleotide RNase P RNA is filed under the name Cyanobium sp. CACIAM 14. RNAcentral describes it as "bacterial RNase P". It matches the Rfam family "Bacterial RNase P class A". From Rfam's summary of the family: Ribonuclease P (RNase P) is a ubiquitous endoribonuclease, found in archaea, bacteria and eukarya as well as chloroplasts and mitochondria. Its best characterised activity is the generation of mature 5'-ends of tRNAs by cleaving the 5'-leader elements of precursor-tRNAs. Lineage: Bacteria; Bacillati; Cyanobacteriota; Cyanophyceae; Synechococcales; Prochlorococcaceae. The record is from RNAcentral.
GAAAGCAGGCGAGGUGAUCACGAUCGGUGCGGCAUCGCCUUCGGGUGGCGCCGCGGCCGUUUGAGGAAAGUCCGGGCUCCCCAAUGGCCAGGCCUGCUGGGUAACGCCCAGUGCGGGUGACCGUGAGGACAGUGCCACAGAAACACACCGCCGAUGGCUCGCGGGGGAGGUUCGCCUUGCCCGGCGCACAGGCAAGGGUGCAAGGGUGCGGUAAGAGCGCACCAGCGGCAUCGUGAGGUGCCGGCUCGGUAAACCCCGGCUGGGAGCAAGGCCCAGGGACAACGGUUGGCCAUCUUCCCCGUCCCGAUUUCCAUGCGCCGCUCGAGUCCGCCGGUAACGGCGGUCCCAGACAGAUGAUCACCCCUCCUGCCAUCGACGGUACCCAGGGUGCCUUUGAUGGCAGGGGAGAACAGAACCCGGCUUACGUCCUGCUUUCCCCC